This 253-nucleotide ribosomal RNA is filed under the name uncultured bacterium. RNAcentral's name for it is "partial 16S ribosomal RNA". It matches the Rfam family "Bacterial small subunit ribosomal RNA", at positions 524 to 776 of the family's 1533-position model. The record is from RNAcentral.
UACGGGGGGGGCAAGCGUUGUUCGGAAUUACUGGGCGUAAAGGGCGCGUAGGCGGCCUGCUAAGUCGGACGUGAAAUCCCCCGGCUCAACCGGGGAACUGCGUCCGAUACUGGUGGGCUCGAAUCCGGGAGAGGGAUGUGGAAUUCUCGGUGUAGAGGUGAAAUUCGUAGAUAUCGAGAGGAACACCGGUGGCGAAGGCGGCCAACUGGACGAAGACUGACGCUGAGACACGAAAGCGUGGGGAGCAAACAGG